UCUUUACGACUCGCGUAAUGCAUCCAGAUUGGUUUUUGUCAUGGCUCAGAUUGAGACGCUCGGCUGUGUACCNAGCCUAACACAUGCAAGUCGAGCGGAUGACGGGAGCUUGCUCCUUGAUUCAGCGGCGGACGGGUGAGUAAUGCCUAGGAAUCUGCCUGGUAGUGGGGGACAACGUUUCGAAAGUGAACGCUAAUACUGCAUACGUCCUACGGGAGAAAGCAGNGGGACCUUCGGGCCUUGCGCUAUCAGAUGAGCCUAGGUCGGAUUAGCUGGUUGGUGGGGUAAUGGCUCACCAAGGCGACGAUCCGUAACUGGUCUGAGAGGAUGAUCAGUCACACUGGAACUGAGACACGGUCAGACUCCUACGGGAGGCAGCAGUGGGGAAUAUUUGGACAAUGGGCGCAAGCCUAGAUCCAGCCAUACCGCGUAGGUGUGAAGAAGGCCUUCGGGUUGUAAAGCCCUUUUGUUGGGAAAUGAAAUCCAGCCGGCUAAUACCUGGUUGGGAUGACGGUACCCAAAGAAUAAGCACGUUUUUGCUU
RNAcentral lists this ribosomal RNA (542 nucleotides) under uncultured bacterium. RNAcentral describes it as "bacterial SSU rRNA". It matches the Rfam family "Bacterial small subunit ribosomal RNA", at positions 1 to 503 of the family's 1533-position model. The record is from RNAcentral.